Molecule: long non-coding RNA, 2102 nt
Organism: Papaver somniferum (opium poppy)
Lineage: Eukaryota; Viridiplantae; Streptophyta; Magnoliopsida; Ranunculales; Papaveraceae
Exons: 4
Source: RefSeq, a predicted model, not a curated record
UGAGUGUUUGCUUUGCUUUAUUUGUUUUUAGAAUAAUUUAGUUUAUAAAAAUCAGAAAAUUCCCCCAUUGUCUUAUAUAGGAAACUGAAACAUCUUGACAACCUAUACCUUUCUGUGGGAACCAUCCUUUCUUAUCCUUUUUAUAUUAUAUAUUUUGAGUAGUGAGAAAGUGAUGUGAUCUUCUAACUAGUGGCAGUGAUCUUCCUUCGCCACCUAGAAUAACGUGCUGAAUUUUGUUAAUCCAAUGGUUGGCUGGCCGUCCGUCACGUCCCACGCUAUUUCUAUUAGUUCUGUGUCUUAAAAGCGAAUCGCAUAAAUUGGGGUUUUCCAUUAUGGAACGUCCAUCCAGUGGCAAUUCUCUUUUUAACACCAGAUUGGUGUUUCAAUCGAUUUAGGAUCCCUUCCAAUUCUCUCUUCAUGUUCCGAUAAAUAGCAAUCCCAUCGUGUUCCGAGUAAUUUAUUUAUUUCUCUUAAUUUCCAAAUUCUAUAACGGAUCAGAAACCCUAGGAUGCCUUUGUAUUCUCUCCUCAACAAUCAAAGGUCUUCCAAAUCCAGAUUGAUUUUUGCAUUAACCGGAUUCUCUCUAUAAAAUGUUAAACCCUAAUCGAGAACAACAGCAGUUUCAUUGAACUUUUGUUGCCCAAGGAACAAACGAUAUGGUAUUGCAGAUUAAUAUCAAACCCCAGCAGGUACCAUCCUCAGUUACCCAUGACAAGUUGAAGAGUUUGCGAUAUGUUGAUGUAGGAAAAUCAAGCUUCCUUAGUGUUCAUGUUACUAGGAAAUGGGAAGAAUUGGACUUUAUGUCCACCAACGACAGCAGGGAGAUGACCAUAUUUGAGAGGGUGGUCAGUACACUAUUGAGAAAUUACUCUCGACUUCUGCCAAAAUUCAGGCCAGCAAACAGUGAGAAGAGGGGCUCUUUCGGUGGAACACCUCACUCUCUGCGCCGGAUGCUUAUUCUAUAUUUAUUCUAUGCCGAUUACUCCCCAUAAUUUCCGUAUCACUGAGUUCAAAGCACUCCAAUCGAAUCUUUAAAACAUCCAUCUUACAGGUAAUUCUCACUACAUCCGUUUCAUCUUAUUUUGUAUUCUGGUUCAUGUAAUGUUAUGUUCCUGGUAGUACAUAGGUUCCUUAAAUUUCAAUUAUAGCAGGUGCCUCUUAGGUCAUUACACAGACUGUUAGAUGGGUUCCAAUUCCCUUGGUCACUACUGGAUAUUUAAUGUGGAUGUGGUUGGGUUCUUAAAAACCAUCACCAACAUCCAGGUGCUUCAGAGGGAUGGUGGGCAAUCCUGCCGAAUACGUAACAUCUUUAAACCAAUUUUAACAUCUUUAAGAAUGGUAUGCAGUUGUUUUGAAAUCCAAGUUCAUAAGUAUGCUUAGCUUUCAUUAAUGUUUUUAAUGUUAAAUUUUGGCGAAUAACAAUUGAGAAUGUUAGAUAUACACAGUUUACUGUUAGCGUGGCUUAGUUUGUCAUUGUACAAUUUGUUUGUCUGUAUAUAUAAUUUUAACGGUUAUUUUCUAAGUCAGGGGCUCAACAAUGAAAAUUAUUAUAUGAGGUUCUGCCCGCUAAUCAAGUUGGGAAUGUCCCAAUUGAUUAUGACUACUUCAUCUCUAACCAAGGACGGAAACAUCUCUAAACGUCUUUGCCGCCAACGUGCUAAUAUUUUAUCUUAGCUCCCAGGCAGAAAUACUGCGAAUCUACAUACAAGACUAUAUGGAGGAAAGCAGCGCUCUUCGUAGUGAUCAUUCAAUUAGGAUUCAUAUAUGACUCUGACUAGCACUAAUGAUGUUGCCGACAGUGGAACAUGUCAAUGUAUCACCCGUCAUCUUAAAUUCAUAUUGUGAUUUACAUUAGUUUUUGGUGUUUGAGAUCGUGAUUCUAAAGCAAUUGACAGUGGCAACAAUUAACUGUGCUUAUACAAGUGGACGUCACACAGCUUAUUUUUUGGUUUCAAUGGGUGUAGACAAAUUUGAGCAUAGCAUUUGAGGUGUAUUUCUGUUUAAAUUGAACUAUAAGAUGUCCACAAACAGAUAUGAUCUUUGAUAUCGACAUUGGCAAUAGCCAUAGCAGUUAUGAAUAUACUUGGGAUCCAUUAAAAGCA